Molecule: ribosomal RNA, 440 nt
Filed under: uncultured bacterium
Lineage: Bacteria
Description: partial 16S ribosomal RNA
Rfam family: Bacterial small subunit ribosomal RNA
Source: RNAcentral
CCUACGGGAGGCAGCAGUGGGGAAUAUUGCACAAUGGGGGAAACCCUGAUGCAGCGACGCCGCGUGAGUGAAGAAGUAAUUCGGUAUGUAAAGCUCUAUCAGCAGGGAAGAAAAUGACGGUACCUGAGUAAUAAGCCCCGGCUAACUACGUGCCAGCAGCCGCGGUAAUACGUAGGGGGCAAGCGUUAUCCGGAUUUACUGGGUGUAAAGGGAGCGUAGACGGCAGUGCAAGUCUGGAGUGAAAGGCGGGGGCUCAACCCCCGGACUGCUCUGGAAACUGUACGGCUGGAGUGCAGGAGAGGUAAGUGGAAUUCCUAGUGUAGCGGUGAAAUGCGUAGAUAUUAGGAGGAACACCAGUGGCGAAGGCGGCUUACUGGACUGUAACUGACGUUGAGGCUCGAAAGCGUGGGGAGCAAACAGGAUUAGAUACCCCUGUAGUC